GAUGAACGCUGGCGGCGUGCCUAAUACAUGCAAGUCGAGCGAACAGACGAGGAGCUUGCUCCUCUGACGUUAGCGGCGGACGGGUGAGUAACACGUGGAUAACCUACCUAUAAGACUGGGAUAACUUCGGGAAACCGGAGCUAAUACCGGAUAAUAUAUUGAACCGCAUGGUUCAAUAGUGAAAGACGGUUUUGCUGUCACUUAUAGAUGGAUCCGCGCCGCAUUAGCUAGUUGGUAAGGUAACGGCUUACCAAGGCGACGAUGCGUAGCCGACCUGAGAGGAUGAUCAGCCACACUGGAACUGAGACACGGUCCAGACUCCUACGGGAGGCAGCAGUAGGGAAUCUUCCGCAAUGGGCGAAAGCCUGACGGAGCAACGCCGCGUGAGUGAUGAAGGUCUUCGGAUCGUAAAACUCUGUUAUUAGGGAAGAACAAAUGUGUAAGUAACUAUGCACGUCUUGACGGUACCUAAUCAGAAAGCCACGGCUAACUACGUG
This 497-nucleotide ribosomal RNA is filed under the name uncultured bacterium. RNAcentral describes it as "partial 16S ribosomal RNA". It matches the Rfam family "Bacterial small subunit ribosomal RNA", at positions 28 to 507 of the family's 1533-position model. The record is from RNAcentral.